CGCCUUUCUCCCAUGGGCUGUGUGGGGUCCCUGUUCUUCGCAGCUAAGGCUGGAGGCCAAGAUCAGCCUUUGAGGACUGUCAUCAGAACUGCCUUGCUUUCCUGCCUCAGAUGUAA
Gorilla gorilla gorilla (western lowland gorilla) is the source of this 116-nucleotide non-coding RNA. The record is from Ensembl. NCBI's taxonomy places the organism in Eukaryota, Metazoa, Chordata, Mammalia, Primates, Hominidae.